This 526-nucleotide ribosomal RNA is filed under the name uncultured bacterium. RNAcentral's name for it is "partial 16S ribosomal RNA". It matches the Rfam family "Bacterial small subunit ribosomal RNA", at positions 355 to 874 of the family's 1533-position model. The record is from RNAcentral.
UGGGGAAUUUUGGACAAUGGGGGCAACCCUGAUCCAGCCAUCCCGCGUGUGCGAUGAAGGCCUUCGGGUUGUAAAGCACUUUUGGCAGGGAAGAAACAGCCUGGGAUAAUACCCCGGGCGACUGACGGUACCUGCAGAAUAAGCACCGGCUAACUACGUGCCAGCAGCCGCGGUAAUACGUAGGGUGCAAGCGUUAAUCGGAAUUACUGGGCGUAAAGCGUGCGCAGGCGGUUCGGAAAGAAAGGUGUGAAAUCCCAGGGCUUAACCUUGGAACUGCACUUUUAACUACCGAGCUAGAGUACGUCAGAGGGGGGUAGAAUUCCACGUGUAGCAGCGAAAUGCGUAGAGAUGUGGAGGAAUACCGAUGGCGAAGGCAGCCCCCUGGGAUGAUACUGACGCUCAUGCACGAAAGCGUGGGGAGCAAACAGGAUUAGAUACCCUGGUAGUCCACGCCCUAAACGAUGUCAACUAGCUGUUGGGGUUUAUUAACCUUAGUAGCGCAGCUAACGCGUGAAGUUGACCGCCU